Non-coding RNA from Acanthosepion pharaonis, 107 nucleotides. Lineage: Eukaryota; Metazoa; Mollusca; Cephalopoda; Sepiida; Sepiidae. The record is from the annotation of a GenBank genome assembly.
ACGGUCACAUCACAUUGAAACACCAGUUCUCAUAUGAUCACUGAAGUUAAGCAAUAUCAAGUCAGUAUCUUGGUGGGUGACCACUUGAAAAUACCAGGUGCUGUAAG